RNAcentral lists this long non-coding RNA (1830 nucleotides) under Macaca fascicularis (crab-eating macaque). RNAcentral's name for it is "lncRNA (ENSMFAG00000064749.1)". The record is from RNAcentral. Lineage: Eukaryota; Metazoa; Chordata; Mammalia; Primates; Cercopithecidae.
UUUUUGUAUUUUUAGUAGAGGCGGGGUUUUGCCUUGUUGGCCAGGCUGGUCUUGAACUCCUGACCUCAGGUGAUCCACCCACCUCAGCCUCCCUAAGUGCUGGGAUUACAGGCAUGAGCCACCGCUCCUGAUCAUAACUACAUUUUCUUAACUUAAAAAGGCACUGCGACAUUAUUUCCACAGUUACCCAACCAAUGAGUCUACAUAAAAAAUGAAAGAACAAAAUUCACAUCAAUCUUACUUGUAUAAUCUCAUGUGCAGACACCAAUUAUGUCAGGCAAAGUCACUAUUCUUAACAUCUGCGAAGCUGGCUCUCCAUGGGUCCACACCAUCACUGUGUCAUACUAUACAAACCGCAGUGCUCUGUGGUAUGAAAUCUACACCAAUCAUUUUCACCAUUAGUUAUCUUUUUUAGGAUACCUGAACCAGAGCUGUGGCAUCAUAACCAAAAUUGCAAACAUGUGCCCCCAACAGAUGCUGGUGGCCUGAGUUUCCAGUCAGGUUUCCAAUGUGUAUCAAAGAAGCCGCAGAGAUUACAAAUCUUUUCCAAAAUAAAGGUUCCUUUUCCAGGCCAAAGUACUACUCCCUGAUAACCUAUGUUGUAAAACAGACUGACCGCUAGGUUCUCUUAAAGGGAGGCACACCUUUGCCUAACUGCCCUAGAGUGGGUGGUACAGAGAGCAGCACUCUCCCAAAUGGCCUUUAAGGAAGUUUCCAGUCCCUCAGGGCCCCUCACGCCCCUCACAUACCCACAGGCUCAUACACAUGUAGUGACAGGCUGUGCACCCACGCAUAUGCACACAGGAGCACACACACACAUAUGUACAGGCUGUUCACCCACACAUGCGCACACAGGAGCACACACACACAUAUGUACAGGCUGCUGUGCACCCACGCAUGCGCACGCAGGAGCACACACACACAUAUGUACAGGCUGUGCACCCACGCAUGCGCACGCAGGAGCACACACACACAUAUGUACAGGCUGUGCACCCAUGCAUGCGCACGCAGGAGCACACACACACAUAUGUACAAGCUGUGCACCCAUGCAUAUGCACGCAGGAGAAGAUGCACCCAUGCAUAUGCACGCAGGAGCACACAUACACAUACAUACAGGCUGUUCACCCAUGCAUAUGAACGCAGGAGCACAAAUACACAUACGUACAGGCUGUUCACCCAUGCAUGUGCACACAGGAGCGCACACACAUGUACAGGCUGUUCACCCAUGCAUAUGCACACAGGAGCACACAUACACAUACGUACAGGCUGUUCACUCAUGCACAUGCACACAGGAGCCAUUACACACAUAUGUUACAGGCUGCACGCAGGAGCACAUAUGUACAGGCUGUGCACACAUGCACAUGCACACAGUCUUUCUCUUUUCUUAUUUUCAAGUGUCCCUGAUUCUUAUUCCACCUCCUUUUACCUUGAUGGCAUAACCAGGAGUGUGAUGAUAGCUACCACUUCAUAGGAACGGCAAGGCCCUAGAAGUUUUUCAUAGGAUCCUACCUUUAUCUGAUUGAAAACCAGUCUUUCCACCUCCUCAGAACACCUUGUUUUGAAAGCUGGGCCAAGCUGCAAGUUCUGCCUAAUCCUCAAUAAGUGCAAGCCUAGGAGGAUCCCCAGAGCUGUUUUUCACCCGUGGUUUACUUCCACUUUGUCACCAAACUACUCUGACCCUGUCUUAGAGGCACUGAAAAGGUAAAGGUCUCCCAAAACCUAAGGAAAAGAACAGAAAACAGCCUGGCUGUAGCCUCGGCCAGGGUCUGCCGGCCUAAAACCUCCAGGCUCCCCAGGCCGGCAUUAUCUGCCGCCUACUCUCUAACCCCC